UACGUAGGCAGCGAGCGUUGUUCGGAAUUACUGGGCGUAAAGAGUGUGUAGGCAGUGUUCUAAGUUUGUCGUGAAAUCUCCCGGCUUAACUGGGAGGGUGCGGCGAAAACUGGAAUGCUAGAGGAUGGGAGAGGUAAGCGGAAUUCCUGGUGUAGCGGUGAAAUGCGUAGAUAUCAGGAGGAACACCUGUGGUGUAGACAGCUUACUGGACCAUUUCUGACGCUGAGACACGAAAGCGUGGGUAGCAAACAGG
RNAcentral lists this ribosomal RNA (253 nucleotides) under uncultured bacterium. Its description in RNAcentral is "partial 16S ribosomal RNA". It matches the Rfam family "Bacterial small subunit ribosomal RNA", at positions 524 to 776 of the family's 1533-position model. The record is from RNAcentral.